Molecule: ribosomal RNA, 301 nt
Filed under: uncultured bacterium
Lineage: Bacteria
Description: partial 16S ribosomal RNA
Rfam family: Bacterial small subunit ribosomal RNA
Source: RNAcentral
CAGUAGCCACGGGAAUACGAAGGGGGCUAGCGUUGCUCGGAAUUACUGGGCGUAAAGGGAGCGUAGGCGGACAUUUAAGUCAGGGGUGAAAUCCCAGAGCUCAACUCUGGAACUGCCUUUGAUACUGGGUGUCUUGAGUGUGAUAGAGGUAUGUGGAACUCCGAGUGUAGAGGUGAAAUUCGUAGAUAUUCGGAAGAACACCAGUGGCGAAGGCGACAUACUGGAUCAUUACUGACGCUGAGGCUCGAAAGCGUGGGGAGCAAACAGGAUUAGAUACCCCAGUAGUCCCUGUCUCUUAUAC